This 334-nucleotide unclassified non-coding RNA is filed under the name soil metagenome. Its description in RNAcentral is "partial contains 5.8S ribosomal RNA, internal transcribed spacer 2, and large subunit ribosomal RNA". The stretch from base 1 to 120 matches the Rfam family "5.8S ribosomal RNA", at positions 35 to 154 of the family's 154-position model. The record is from RNAcentral.
GAUGAAGAACGUAGCGAAAUGCGAUAAGUAAUGAGAAUUGCAGAAUCCAGUGAAUCAUCGAAUCUUUGAACGCACAUUGCGCCCGCCAGCACUCUGGCGGGCAUGCCUGUUCGAGCGUCAUUUCAACCAUCAAGCCCCAGGCUUGCGUUGGAGCCCUGCGGCUGCCGCAGCCUCCUAAAAGCAGUGGCGGGCUCGCUAUCACACCGAGUGCAGUAGAUUACUCUUCGCUCAGGGCGUGCAGCGGGUUCCGGCCGUGAAACCCCCUACUUUUAAAGGUUGACCUCGGAUCAGGUAGGAAUACCCGCUGAACUUAAGCAUAUCAAUAAGCGGAGGA